This 460-nucleotide ribosomal RNA is filed under the name uncultured bacterium. RNAcentral's name for it is "partial 16S ribosomal RNA". It matches the Rfam family "Bacterial small subunit ribosomal RNA", at positions 338 to 795 of the family's 1533-position model. The record is from RNAcentral.
CCUACGGGAGGCAGCAGUGAGGAAUAUUGGUCAAUGGGCGCGAGCCUGAACCAGCCAAGUAGCGUGAAGGAUGACUGCCCUACGGGUUGUAAACUUCUUUUAUAAAGGAAUAAAGUGAGGCCCGUGUGCCUUUUUUUAUGUACUUUAUGAAUAAGGAUCGGCUAACUCCGUUCCAGCAGCCGCGGUUAGACGGAGGAUUCGAGCGUUAUCCGGAUUUUUUGGGUUUAAAGGGAGCGUAGAUGGGUGGUUAAGUCAGUUGUGAAAGUUUGAGGCUCAACCGUAAAAUUGCAAUUGAUACUGGCAGCCGUGAGUACAGUUGAGGUAGGCGGAAUUCGUGGUGUAGCGGUGAAAUGCUUAGAUAUCACGAAGAACUCCGAUUGCGAAGGCAGCUUACUAAACUGCCACUGACAUUGAUGCUCGAAAGUGUGGGUAUCAAACAGGAUUAGAUACCCCUGUAGUC